This is a non-coding RNA of Equus caballus (horse), 547 nucleotides long. The record is from RefSeq and is a predicted model, not a curated record. NCBI's taxonomy places the organism in Eukaryota, Metazoa, Chordata, Mammalia, Perissodactyla, Equidae.
CAGCCUUGAGAUUAGUGGGCCAUGAAAACCCUAACUUCACACCAACUUGCUUUCUUUAUUUCUCUAUUUACCCAGCAAAAAAUACACUAGAGUUAAGAAUAAGCUUAAAAAAUUCAUCUUGAGGAAAUCUAAGGCAGUAUGGUUAUGCAUCAUUUACCUUCUUCUCUACUUGAGACCCACCUUAGAAGUUUCUGGACCAGAUGAGAGGGCUUUUGAGGAUGUAGCAAAUCUAGCCAAGGUGGUGAGGAGAGCUAGUAUAGUCCAUUUGAGUGUGCUGAGAUGGAAGAUUUGUGGCAGAGACAGAUCCAGGUUUUUCGGGAACUGAAGACAAUAACAUUUGGAAACCUCUUUAAGUAAAAGAAUGCAAAAGGAAGCCAGAGUGUCAGUGUGUUGAGCAAACUCUAUAUGGAGGGACAGAACAUAGACAGAAGCAUUGCUGUAUUGUUUGUCCAAGAAGGCCAGUUUGAUGGAUGAAAUUUGCCUUGCUGUAUUGUUAUUAAUUUUUAAUGUCUAUAUUCUCUUUCUUUAAAAAUCACCUAUUAAAUAU